CCUUCGGGUUGUAAAGCUCUGUCGAGCGGGACGAAAACCCUAGGAGUGAAUAGCUCCUAGGACUGACGGUACCGCUAAAGGAAGCACCGGCUAACUCCGUGC
RNAcentral lists this ribosomal RNA (102 nucleotides) under uncultured bacterium. RNAcentral's name for it is "partial 16S ribosomal RNA". The record is from RNAcentral.